RNAcentral lists this ribosomal RNA (301 nucleotides) under uncultured bacterium. RNAcentral describes it as "partial 16S ribosomal RNA". It matches the Rfam family "Bacterial small subunit ribosomal RNA", at positions 509 to 809 of the family's 1533-position model. The record is from RNAcentral.
CAGUAGCCGCGGUAAUACGAAGGGUGCAAGCGUUACUCGGAAUUACUGGGCGUAAAGCGUGCGUAGGUGGUGGUUUAAGUCCGUUGUGAAAGCCCUGGGCUCAACCUGGGAAUUGCAGUGGAUACUGGGUCACUAGAGUGUGGUAGAGGAUAGUGGAAUUUCCGGUGUAGCAGUGAAAUGCGUAGAGAUUGGAAGGAACAUCUGUGGCGAAGGCGACUAUCGGGGCCAACACUGACACUGAGGCACGAAAGCGUGGGGAGCAAACAGGAUUAGAUACCCCAGUAGUCCCUGUCUCUUAUAA